RNAcentral lists this ribosomal RNA (468 nucleotides) under uncultured bacterium. RNAcentral's name for it is "partial 16S ribosomal RNA". It matches the Rfam family "Bacterial small subunit ribosomal RNA", at positions 28 to 507 of the family's 1533-position model. The record is from RNAcentral.
GACGAACGCUGGCGGCGUGCUUAACACAUGCAAGUCGAACGGAAAGGCCCUGCUUUUGUGGGGUGCUCGAGUGGCGAACGGGUGAGUAACACGUGAGUAACCUGCCCUUGACUUUGGGAUAACUUCAGGAAACUGGGGCUAAUACCGGAUAGGAGCUCCUGCUGCAUGGUGGGGGUUGGAAAGUUUCGGCGGUUGGGGAUGGACUCGCGGCUUAUCAGCUUGUUGGUGGGGUAGUGGCUUACCAAGGCUUUGACGGGUAGCCGGCCUGAGAGGGUGACCGGCCACAUUGGGACUGAGAUACGGCCCAGACUCCUACGGGAGGCAGCAGUGGGGAAUAUUGCACAAUGGGAGGAAGCAUGAUGCAGCAACGCCGCGUGCGGGAUGACGGCCUUCGGGUUGUAAACCGCUUUCGCCUGUGACGAAGCGUGAGUGAGGGUAAUGGGUAAAGAAGCACCGGCUAACUACGUG